UGAGAGAAAAUAUUAGAAUAAAGCCAUGCACCCAAGUGUACACUCUUGGUAUUUUAGCUGGCAAUGGACAGGGAGUUUUGUGCAACUUCAUUUUGGAUGCUUCUGUAGUGGGGUAGCCAAAUUGCUAUAUUCCUUUGCUCUGCCAUUGCAUGUAAGUCCACAUAUAUGGAUCAGUCUAGCUUACAAAAUUUUGGCUUGUAUUAUAUUGAUUCCCUUGAUCAUAAGAUGUAGUUUUUCGUUCGAAAGCUCUCAUGAAGAAAGAAAGGU
RNAcentral lists this unclassified non-coding RNA (267 nucleotides) under Hevea brasiliensis (rubber tree). Lineage: Eukaryota; Viridiplantae; Streptophyta; Magnoliopsida; Malpighiales; Euphorbiaceae. The record is from RNAcentral.